RNAcentral lists this microRNA (21 nucleotides) under Caenorhabditis elegans. Its description in RNAcentral is "cel-miR-4808-5p". Lineage: Eukaryota; Metazoa; Nematoda; Chromadorea; Rhabditida; Rhabditidae. The record is from miRBase by way of RNAcentral.
GUAAGAUAGAUUAGUGCUUUC